ACGAGGGAGUCGGGACACAAAUACUGCUCAAUGGAACGUGCUCAUACUCGGUCUUGUUCAACCUCAAAAGUAGCUGGCUCAAAACUUUCUAGACCAUCGGAAACAAUGAAGAGAAAUAUCCCUGUCAUUGAUGAAUCCGUUGCGGAGGACGUAGCGGAAAUUUCUUCCACCGUGGCCCCAAAUGCACAAAUAACUGCAAAAAGACUACGCCAUGAGCUGGAGAUGGCCAAACAAAAAGUGGCAGCAGGAGAUGCUCAAGGAAGUGACCAAGGAGAGAGCCUUUCUAAGGGAACAACUGGCUAUGACAAUAAAAUAGGACAAGGGCGUUCCAUCAGAGGACAGCACAAGUCCCUUACAGCAAACCACUUCCGCCGCUUCAGGUACUUUCUCUUCUGAUUCCUCCGACUCGUCAUCCAACUCUUCAUAUGACUCUUCCUCCACGGAUGAGGGACGGAAGAAGAAAAAGAAGAACAGCAAAACAGUAGAGAGACGGAAGCAGGGGAAACGGGGAAAGAAAAGAAAGGAGCAAAGUGUUCACCAGAGAGCUCGAGAUCCUGAAGUGGUGGCCCGAUACCGAAAGGUGUUGAAAAUCUGCCAGGAGGGAAGGACCAUGGGGGCUGCUUUCAGAGCUGUGGGUGUUGACCGCAACACUAUUGUCGUGAAUGCCCCAAUGGCAGAACUUUGCAUUGCUGCCCCAGAAACAUUUGCAGAGCUCAAAGAG
Long non-coding RNA from Clupea harengus (Atlantic herring), 721 nucleotides. The record is from Ensembl. NCBI's taxonomy places the organism in Eukaryota, Metazoa, Chordata, Actinopteri, Clupeiformes, Clupeidae.